GGUUAAGCGACUAAGCGUACACGGUGGAUGCCCUGGCAGUCAGAGGCGAUGAAGGACGUGCUAAUCUGCGAUAAGCGUCGGUAAGGUGAUAUGAACCGUUAUAACCGGCGAUUUCCGAAUGGGGAAACCCAGUGUGAUUCGUCACACUAUCAUUAACUGAAUCCAUAGGUUAAUGAGGCGAACCGGGGGAACUGAAACAUCUAAGUACCCCGAGGAAAAGAAAUCAACCGAGAUUCCCCCAGUAGCGGCGAGCGAACGGGGAGCAGCCCAGAGCCUGAAUCAGUGUGUGUGUUAGUGGAAGCGUCUGGAAAGGCGCGCGAUACAGGGUGACAGCCCCGUACACAAAAAUGCACAUGCUGUGAGCUCGAUGAGUAGGGCGGGACACGUGGUAUCCUGUCUGAAUAUGGGGGGACCAUCCUCCAAGGCUAAAUACUCCUGACUGACCGAUAGUGAACCAGUACCGUGAGGGAAAGGCGAAAAGAACCCCGGCGAGGGGAGUGAAAAAGAACCUGAAACCGUGUACGUACAAGCAGUGGGAGCACGCUUAGGCGUGUGACUGCGUACCUUUUGUAUAAUGGGUCAGCGACUUAUAUUCUGUAGCAAGGUUAACCGAAUAGGGGAGCCGAAGGGAAACCGAGUCUUAACUGGGCGUUAAGUUGCAGGGUAUAGACCCGAAACCCGGUGAUCUAGCCAUGGGCAGGUUGAAGGUUGGGUAACACUAACUGGAGGACCGAACCGACUAAUGUUGAAAAAUUAGCGGAUGACUUGUGGCUGGGGGUGAAAGGCCAAUCAAACCGGGAGAUAGCUGGUUCUCCCCGAAAGCUAUUUAGGUAGCGCCUCGUGAAUUCAUCUCCGGGGGUAGAGCACUGUUUCGGCAAGGGGGUCAUCCCGACUUACCAACCCGAUGCAAACUGCGAAUACCGGAGAAUGUUAUCACGGGAGACACACGGCGGGUGCUAACGUCCGUCGUGAAGAGGGAAACAACCCAGACCGCCAGCUAAGGUCCCAAAGUCAUGGUUAAGUGGGAAACGAUGUGGGAAGGCCCAGACAGCCAGGAUGUUGGCUUAGAAGCAGCCAUCAUUUAAAGAAAGCGUAAUAGCUCACUGGUCGAGUCGGCCUGCGCGGAAGAUGUAACGGGGCUAAACCAUGCACCGAAGCUGCGGCAGCGACACUAUGUGUUGUUGGGUAGGGGAGCGUUCUGUAAGCCUGUGAAGGUGUACUGUGAGGUAUGCUGGAGGUAUCAGAAGUGCGAAUGCUGACAUAAGUAACGAUAAAGCGGGUGAAAAGCCCGCUCGCCGGAAGACCAAGGGUUCCUGUCCAACGUUAAUCGGGGCAGGGUGAGUCGACCCCUAAGGCGAGGCCGAAAGGCGUAGUCGAUGGGAAACAGGUUAAUAUUCCUGUACUUGGUGUUACUGCGAAGGGGGGACGGAGAAGGCUAUGUUGGCCGGGCGACGGUUGUCCCGGUUUAAGCGUGUAGGCUGGUUUUCCAGGCAAAUCCGGAAAAUCAAGGCUGAGGCGUGAUGACGAGGCACUACGGUGCUGAAGCAACAAAUGCCCUGCUUCCAGGAAAAGCCUCUAAGCAUCAGGUAACAUCAAAUCGUACCCCAAACCGACACAGGUGGUCAGGUAGAGAAUACCAAGGCGCUUGAGAGAACUCGGGUGAAGGAACUAGGCAAAAUGGUGCCGUAACUUCGGGAGAAGGCACGCUGAUAUGUAGGUGAAGUCCCUCGCGGAUGGAGCUGAAAUCAGUCGAAGAUACCAGCUGGCUGCAACUGUUUAUUAAAAACACAGCACUGUGCAAACACGAAAGUGGACGUAUACGGUGUGACGCCUGCCCGGUGCCGGAAGGUUAAUUGAUGGGGUCAGCGCAAGCGAAGCUCUUGAUCGAAGCCCCGGUAAACGGCGGCCGUAACUAUAACGGUCCUAAGGUAGCGAAAUUCCUUGUCGGGUAAGUUCCGACCUGCACGAAUGGCGUAAUGAUGGCCAGGCUGUCUCCACCCGAGACUCAGUGAAAUUGAACUCGCUGUGAAGAUGCAGUGUACCCGCGGCAAGACGGAAAGACCCCGUGAACCUUUACUAUAGCUUGACACUGAACAUUGAGCCUUGAUGUGUAGGAUAGGUGGGAGGCUUUGAAGUGUGGACGCCAGUCUGCAUGGAGCCGACCUUGAAAUACCACCCUUUAAUGUUUGAUGUUCUAACGUGGACCCGUAAUCCGGGUUGCGGACAGUGUCUGGUGGGUAGUUUGACUGGGGCGGUCUCCUCCUAAAGAGUAACGGAGGAGCACGAAGGUUGGCUAAUCCUGGUCGGACAUCAGGAGGUUAGUGCAAUGGCAUAAGCCAGCUUGACUGCGAGCGUGACGGCGCGAGCAGGUGCGAAAGCAGGUCAUAGUGAUCCGGUGGUUCUGAAUGGAAGGGCCAUCGCUCAACGGAUAAAAGGUACUCCGGGGAUAACAGGCUGAUACCGCCCAAGAGUUCAUAUCGACGGCGGUGUUUGGCACCUCGAUGUCGGCUCAUCACAUCCUGGGGCUGAAGUAGGUCCCAAGGGUAUGGCUGUUCGCCAUUUAAAGUGGUACGCGAGCUGGGUUUAGAACGUCGUGAGACAGUUCGGUCCCUAUCUGCCGUGGGCGCUGGAGAACUGAGGGGGGCUGCUCCUAGUACGAGAGGACCGGAGUGGACGCAUCACUGGUGUUCGGGUUGUCAUGCCAAUGGCACUGCCCGGUAGCUAAAUGCGGAAGAGAUAAGUGCUGAAAGCAUCUAAGCACGAAACUUGCC
RNAcentral lists this ribosomal RNA (2771 nucleotides) under Escherichia coli. Its description in RNAcentral is "partial 23S ribosomal RNA". It matches the Rfam family "Bacterial large subunit ribosomal RNA". Lineage: Bacteria; Pseudomonadati; Pseudomonadota; Gammaproteobacteria; Enterobacterales; Enterobacteriaceae. The record is from RNAcentral.